GGUUGAUCAGAUUGCUCCUUGGGUGAAGGAAUACAAGAUUGGCAAUGUGCCACAAUUCAUAAAGUCAGAACCCAUUCCUGAGAGUAACAAUGAACCUGUGAAAGUGGUUGUUGCUGAUAGCCUCCAGGAUGUAGUCUUUAAAUCUGGAAAAAAUGUUUUACUGGAAUUUUAUUCUCCAUGGUGCGGGCACUGCAAAAAACUUGCUCCAACUUUAGAGGAAGUGGCUGUCUCAUAUGAAAGCGAUCCUGAUGUCAUCAUCGCUAAGUUUGAUGCCACGGCGAACGACAUUGCAGAUAGCGACUUUGAUGUCCAAGGUUACCCUACUAUGUAUUUCAGGUCAGCAAGCGGAAAGCUGGUGGAGUACAGUGGUGAUAGAUCCAAGGAAGACAUCAUAAAUUUCAUUGAGACAAAUCGCGAUAAAAUCGC
Molecule: unclassified non-coding RNA, 426 nt
Filed under: Hevea brasiliensis (rubber tree)
Lineage: Eukaryota; Viridiplantae; Streptophyta; Magnoliopsida; Malpighiales; Euphorbiaceae
Source: RNAcentral